This 253-nucleotide ribosomal RNA is filed under the name uncultured prokaryote. RNAcentral describes it as "partial 16S ribosomal RNA". It matches the Rfam family "Bacterial small subunit ribosomal RNA", at positions 524 to 776 of the family's 1533-position model. The record is from RNAcentral.
UACGGAGGAUGCAAGCGUUAUCCGGAAUUAUUGGGCGUAAAGCGUCCGUAGGUGGUUUUUCAAGUCUGCUGUCAAAGCGCGGAGCUUAACUCCGUAAAGGCGGUGGAAACUGAAAGACUAGAGUUUGGUAGGGGUAGAGGGAAUUCCCAGUGUAGCGGUGAAAUGCGUAGAUAUUGGGAAGAACACCGGUGGCGAAAGCGCUCUACUGGGCCUGAACUGACACUGAGGGACGAAAGCUAGGGGAGCGAAAGGG